Long non-coding RNA from Cygnus olor (mute swan), 1027 nucleotides. RefSeq lists it as uncharacterized. Lineage: Eukaryota; Metazoa; Chordata; Aves; Anseriformes; Anatidae. The transcript is spliced from 4 exons. The record is from RefSeq and is a predicted model, not a curated record.
UGGUCCCAACUAUUUCAUGCUGGAGAAGUUAAUGGUAUACAGUAACCAAGGUCACUCUUGAUCACUUUUCUGAUAAGCUAAACGGAUUCAGUUUUGUCUGUCACGGGAGCUGCCAGGGCCGAAGGACAGUGAAUCAUCAGGGCUUUUGCUGCAUCUGCUGCAAAUCCUGAACGACUGGAGCAUGGAGUCGAUCAGGUCUGAGCCCUCCUGGCUUCCUUGGGUGUUUCGGUUGUGGGCCCUCGCAGUUGGAAGAGGAGGAAGUUUUAGCAGGCCCGCGCAGGUCACAGCUGAGGUGUCCAGGAAGGACCGGCGGGUCUGAGCUGGGACCGAACCGCACCUGGAAAGUGAUGCCAGGAGCUGUUUGCUUUAGAGUCUGAAGUCGGUAUUUGAAUGCACGUGUGCACCUUUGUGCAUCAAAAAAACCUGCCCAGAGAAAGCACACAGCACAGAACGCAGGUCUGCUGGCUGUCGCUGCUCAGGGGACACAGGGGUGCUGUGGAAAUCUUUCUGUGUGCAUCUUUGAAACGAAAACAAAAAACAACAUAAAAGAACAUCUGCUUGUGUGAAAACGGAUCCGUUUCUCCUGGUUUCAAAGUGCCCAUUGCAGCAUGUGCCAUUUUUUCUGGAAUCACGGCAGAGAAGGGACAUCUCCAGAAAAUGCUGAGGUUAAAACAUCGAGGUACAACCUGCCUGUGCUAUGGUUACAAAGAUACUGUCAGCUUGGUCCUGCGGACAGCAAAUGCGUUAGUGAAGUUGAGAGAGACUGCCAGACCUUCCUCACUUCUUUUUUUGUGAUUUGCCAAAUCCUCAGCUGGCUGCAGGGUGCCCAAAAGCCCUGGCUCGAGCUGGAAGGAAGGGCAGCUGUGAGAGGAUGCUGCUGUCCCCUGGGAGCGUCCGGGGAGCCCCAGACACAAAGCUGCUGGGUUUGGUUUUGUUGUUUAUUGAAGACAGGCCUUUGUGCAGCAGUAAUGGAAAAUCCUAUUUCUGUACCAAUAAAAAGCUUUGCUCCCAUGGUUGUUGUUACUGG